Panicum virgatum (switchgrass) is the source of this 959-nucleotide long non-coding RNA. RefSeq lists it as uncharacterized. The transcript is spliced from 2 exons. NCBI's taxonomy places the organism in Eukaryota, Viridiplantae, Streptophyta, Magnoliopsida, Poales, Poaceae. The record is from RefSeq and is a predicted model, not a curated record.
UAACCGCACGAACAACACAAACAUGCUACUUUCACAAGGCCUUUAGCUAGGGUUUGCUGGGCUUGCUUCACCUACCACCACCCCCAGAUAAUGUGUUAAAAUCAGAAGUGGUUGGAAACUCCAGCUGCCCCGGAACAAAAGGUCAGAGGCGACCCCAAGUGGCCCUGCUGCGGAUCACACAGCUUUGCAGGGCUCCCACCUUAUCCUUGCAUGCCAAGGGAUCGCCGGAGCCAGUGAGGACAGCGACCGGAGCCGGAGGAGGAUCGGAGGCCGGUCUGUUCCGAGACCGGCGGUACAUUCGCGUCGUCCCCGGCCAGGCGUGGCUCAGGCUCGCAUGAUUAGGGAAAGGUGGUGGUGUAGCAAUGCAUGAGCAAGCAGGGGCCAGGGAGGCGGAGGGAGAUGAGAUCGAUCCGUGGCGAUGAAGCUGCUACGCCCGCCGGUUAGCGGGUCACCAAGCCGUGCCCGAACAGUUGCUCUUUUCGGCAAGUCUGCAAAGGCAAAGCGGGAGAAGGAUGCGUCACCCAACUCGCCGGAUAUUUUGGAUUCACUCCAUGGCAAGAUGUUGUCAGAUAUGGAUCUCCGGGUACCCACAAUGAAGCUACCCGCAAGGAAAGAAAAAGUCGGACUCCAAUUAGGAUUUCACUAUAAUCCUACUAAGACUUCUACCUUGUAACCGACUAGUAUCACACCGCUAGAGUAUAUAAAGAAGGGUAGUGGUACCUAGAUUGGAGAAUUGAGUCAAACCUAAAAUAGGGCAACACAACACCCAAAUCCAAGACGCAAUAUACAAAACAUCAAACAAGACGUAAGGAUGCUAGCACUUUUUUUGGAGUUACUGCAGGAUUUAAUUGACAAGAAAAAACAUGAAUCUCUAUGUUAGAGGUUCCUUGUAGCGGAACCUGCCCAUCGAUAUGCAAGACCUCAACUUGGUAUGGAUGCUAGUACCAUUUUUGGAGUUA